GACGAACGCUGGCGGCGUGCUUAACACAUGCAAGUGGAGCGACGAACCAGAGCUUGCUCUGGGGCAGAGCCGCGAACGGGUGAGUAACACGUGGGUAACCUACCCCGAUGACCGGGACAACCCGAGGAAACUCGGGCUAAUACCGGAUGUUCUCGAUCCUCGUAAGGGGGUUGAGCAAAGAUAGCUUUGGCCUUCGCAUCGGGACGGGCCCGCGGCCCAUUAGCUUGUUGGUGAGGUAACGGCUUACCAAGGCGACGAUGGGUAGCUGGUCUGAGAGGACGAUCAGCCACACUGGGACUGAGACACGGCCCAGACUCCUACGGGAGGCAGCAGUGGGGAAUCUUGCGCAAUGGGCGAAAGCCUGACGCAGCAACGCCGCGUGGGGGAAGAAGGCCUUCGGGUUGUAAACCUCUUUCAGUAGGGACGAAGCGCAAGUGACGGUACCUGCAGAAGAAGCACCGGCUAACUACGUGCCAGCCGCCGCCGUAAAAC
Molecule: ribosomal RNA, 492 nt
Filed under: uncultured bacterium
Lineage: Bacteria
Description: bacterial SSU rRNA
Rfam family: Bacterial small subunit ribosomal RNA
Source: RNAcentral